AUUGAACGCUGGCGGCAGGCCUAACACAUGCAAGUCGAACGGUAGCACAGAGAGCCUGCUCUCGGGUGACGAGUGGCGGACGGGUGAGUAACGUCUGGGAAACUGCCCGAUGGAGGGGGAUAACUACUGGAAACGGUAGCUAAUACCGCAUAACGUCGCAAGACCAAAGUGGGGGACCUUCGGGCCUCACACCAUCGGAUGUGCCCAGAUGGGAUUAGCUAGUAGGUGGGGUAAUGGCUCACCUAGGCGACGAUCCCUAGCUGGUCUGAGAGGAUGACCAGCCACACGGGAGCUGAGACACGGUCCAGACUCCUACGGGAGGCAGCAGUGGGGGAUAUUGCACAAUGGGCGCAAGCCUGAUGCAGCCAUGCCGCGUGUAUGAAGAAGGCCUUCGGGUUGUAAAGUACUUUCAGCGGGGAGGAAGGCGGUGAAGUUAACAGCUUCACCGAUUGACGUUACCCGCAGAAGAAGCACCGGCUAACUCCGUGCCAGCCGCCGCGGUAA
RNAcentral lists this ribosomal RNA (504 nucleotides) under uncultured bacterium. Its description in RNAcentral is "partial 16S ribosomal RNA". It matches the Rfam family "Bacterial small subunit ribosomal RNA", at positions 29 to 523 of the family's 1533-position model. The record is from RNAcentral.